GCUUGCGGCGUGCUUAACACAUGCAAGUCGAACGGAAAGGCCCUGCUUUUGUGGGGUGCUCGAGUGGCGAACGGGUGAGUAACACGUGAGUAACCUGCCCUUGACUUUGGGAUAACUUCAGGAAACUGGGGCUAAUACCGGAUAGGAGCUCCUGCUGCAUGGUGGGGGUUGGAAAGUUUCGGCGGUUGGGGAUGGACUCGCGGCUUAUCAGCUUGUUGGUGGGGUAGUGGCUUACCAAGGCUUUGACGGGUAGCCGGCCUGAGAGGGUGACCGGCCACAUUGGGACUGAGAUACGGCCCAGACUCCUACGGGAGGCAGCAGUGGGGAAUAUUGCACAAUGGGCGGAAGCCUGAUGCAGCAACGCCGCGUGCGGGAUGACGGCCUUCGGGUUGUAAACCGCUUUCGCCUGUGACGAAGCGUGAGUGACGGUAAUGGGUAAAGAAGCACCGGCUAACUACGUGCCAGCAGCCGCGGUGAUACGUAGGGUGCGAGCGUUGUCCGGAUUUAUUGGGCGUAAAGGGCUCGUAGGUGGUUGAUCGCGUCGGAAGUGUAAUCUUGGGGCUUAACCCUGAGCGUGCUUUCGAUACGGGUUGACUUGAGGAAGGUAGGGGAGAAUGGAAUUCCUGGUGGAGCGGUGGAAUGCGCAGAUAUCAGGAGGAACACCAGUGGCGAAGGCGGUUCUCUGGGCCUUUCCUGACGCUGAGGAGCGAAAGCGUGGGGAGCGAACAGGCUUAGAUACCCUGGUAGUCCACGCUGUAAACGGUGGGUACUAGGUGUGGGGUCCAUUCCACGGGUUCCGUGCCGUAGCUAACGCUUUAAGUACCCCGCCUGGGGAGUACGGCCGCAAGGCUAAAACUCAAAGGAAUUGACGGGGCCCCGCACAAGCGGCGGAGCAUGCGGAUUAAUUCGAUGCAACGCGUAGAACCUUACCUGGGUUUGACAUGGAUCGGGAGUGCUCAGAGAUGGGUGUGCCUCUUUUGGGGUCGGUUCACAGGUGGUGCAUGGCUGUCGUCAGCUCGUGUCGUGAGAUGUUGGGUUAAGUCCCGCAACGAGCGCAACCCUUGUUCACUGUUGCCAGCACGUUAUGGUGGGGACUCAGUGGAGACCGCCGGGGUCAACUCGGAGGAAGGUGGGGAUGACGUCAAGUCAUCAUGCCCCUUAUGUCCAGGGCUUCACGCAUGCUACAAUGGCUGGUACAGAGAGUGGCGAGCCUGUGAGGGUGAGCGAAUCUCGGAAAGCCGGUCUCAGUUCGGAUUGGGGUCUGCAACUCAACCUCAUGAAGUCGGAGUCGCUAGUAAUCGCAGAUCAGCAACGCUGCGGUGAAUACGUUCCCGGGGCUUGUACACACCGCCCGUCAAGUCAUGAAAGUUGGUAACACCCGAAGCCGGUGGCCUAACCGUUGUGGGGGAGCCGUCGAAGGUGGGACUGGUGAUUAGGA
This 1438-nucleotide ribosomal RNA is filed under the name uncultured organism. RNAcentral's name for it is "partial small subunit ribosomal RNA". It matches the Rfam family "Bacterial small subunit ribosomal RNA". The record is from RNAcentral.